RNAcentral lists this ribosomal RNA (252 nucleotides) under uncultured bacterium. Its description in RNAcentral is "partial 16S ribosomal RNA". It matches the Rfam family "Bacterial small subunit ribosomal RNA", at positions 524 to 776 of the family's 1533-position model. The record is from RNAcentral.
UACAUGGGGUGCAAACGUUGCUCGGAAUUAUUGGGCGUAAAGCGCACGUAGGCGGAUUGUUAAGUCGGGGGUGAAAUCCUGGAGCUCAACUCCAGAACUGCCUUCGAUACUGGAGAGCUUGAGUCCGGGAGAGGUGAGUGGAACUGCGAGUGUAGAGGUGAAAUGCGCAGAUAUCAGGAGGAACACCAAUGCGAAGGCAGCUCGCUGGGACGUUACUGACGCUGAGACGCGAAAGCGUGGGGAGCAAACAGG